ACGAACGCUGGCGGCGUGCUUAACACAUGCAAGUCGAACGGAAAGGCCCUGCUUUUGUGGGGUGCUCGAGUGGCGAACGGGGGAGUAACACGUGAGUAACCUGCCCUUGACUUUGGGAUAACUUCAGGAAACUGGGGCUAAUACCGGAUAGGAGCUCCUGCUGCAUGGUGGGGGUUGGAAAGUUUCGGCGGUUGGGGAUGGACUCGCGGCUUAUCAGCUUGUUGGUGGGGUAGUGGCUUACCAAGGCUUUGACGGGUAGCCGGCCUGAGAGGGUGACCGGCCACAUUGGGACUGCGAUACGGCCCAGACUCCUACGGGCGGCAGCAGUGGGGAAUAUUGCACAAUGGGCGGAAGCCUGAUGCAGCAACGCCGCGUGCGGGAUGACGGCCUUCGGGUUGUAAACCGCUUUCGCCUGUGACGAAGCGUGAGUGACGGUAAUGGGUAAAGAAGCACCGGCUAACUACGUG
RNAcentral lists this ribosomal RNA (467 nucleotides) under uncultured bacterium. RNAcentral's name for it is "partial 16S ribosomal RNA". It matches the Rfam family "Bacterial small subunit ribosomal RNA", at positions 29 to 507 of the family's 1533-position model. The record is from RNAcentral.